AGAGCACACUCACGUAGACCUUUUUUAUGCAUGUUUUUUUUGCUGCGAGGUGAUUUGGUACCCAUCGAGUUACUUUCUCUCUCUUCCUCUCUCCUUCCCCUCUGCCAGGAACCGUGCCCCUCCAGAACCUCCCCCUCCGAUCUGCCACAGCCGGCCGAUGUCCCAGCGCCGAAGUGGUACUGUGGUGAGGGAGACGACGGGCCGGAGGCACGAGCGAGGGAAAAAAUCACAGCCCAGGCCCUGCUUGGGGCAGCAGACUGCGUCGACCGCCUGGAGCGUAGUGAGCACCAUCCACGGCGGGCGGGGGCAUGUGCAGACUAUUUAGCAUUUGAGGUUGACCCAUUUUUCUGGAUCCAAAUUUAUUUCACCUCGUUAUUUUUCAAAUUUCUUCACCGUUUGAUGGAACAUGUCUAUGUUGAUUUUUCUUUGUUGUGCUCACUGGAAAAAUCCAAAUGGGUUGUUUUGGAAAAACUAGAAUGGGAGUCUGAUGUUGCUCCAGCUCCAACAAUUUUGGAUUCAAAUGUGCUGUAAUUCCUCUCUCUUACUCGAAUUAGGUUUGCUUUUUUUGGAGACAAAAACUUUUGGAGUCGGGGCCAGCUAUCGAUCUGGGGCUCACCAAUGUUCUACCAUCCACCUUCGCAGAGUUUAUCAUUUUAGUUUAGUUCUAGCACUUCAGUACGUGGAUUUGCUUCACAUCCUUUUUUUCCGAUCAGUUUCUAGGUACAUGUUUUAGUUGCUGUUUUUUGGGAUUUGAAGGAGGAGCAGCUACUUGUCGAGAGGCAGUGACGAGCUUCCUUUUUUCUCUGCUGAUUUGAGCCCCUGCUGACUGGACCAUGGCGGAAGGCCGAUGGCCGCGUCAAUGGGCUAGACGGGUAGCAGGGGCGCAGACUGAACUUAUGCUGGUUGUCAUCCAUAGUUGCUUUGUGAGAUACAACCUGAACAAACCUGUGUCAUGUUAAAAAAACACAAUCUUCAGUCUAGAUAACUAAUCUAUGUACAUUUUAUUAUCUUGUAAGAUACAACCUGAAUAAUCAUGUGUUAUGUUAAAACAACACAAUCUUAAGUCUAGAUAAUUGAUCUAUGCUCAUUUCAUUAUUUUGUUUAUCAUAGGGGGGUUGACAGAACUCCAGAUGACUCAAUCUGUGUCAUUCUUCAAUUCACACCCACACCCGUCUUUGCAAUUUUGUGCUUGCUUCAAUUCAAGAAAAAGUCCCCUUUGAAGUGUUUCGCCUCUACUUAACUCUUUCCUCUCAAUUUAGCGGUUGUCUAAAAAAAUCCCCUGAGGCUAACUGUGACCGGAGAAAAAGUCACUUCUAGUCUUACAAAUGGAGACACUAGUAUUUCCAUGUCAGUUUUGCGCUCUUCAGUAUAGGCUGUUGUUAUGUAUCAGGAACGUUUAAUAAUCGUAGGGCGUGUCAAUCUGAGUGCUGGUAAAGCACAGAAGUGUGAUCCUUGGGAGAAUUUUUUUCUCAUCUUCUCAUCUUACUGAUAUUUUGGUAGCGGAUCAGCAUUUUGUCAUCAUUAUUUCGCAUCGUUAAUUUUGGUUUACUGGUUUAGUAAGGAUGACGUGGAGACCAUGAACAAUCGUACCGCAGCCGUCUAAAAUUGUCAUUGUUUCCUUUUUCAGUGAUUAAAACUAUCUACCUUUAUUUGGUUAACCUCAUAAUACGGUUAGUUUAACCUGUUUAACAUCUGCUACCAAGAAAACUGUACCUGACCAUGUGACCCUUCCGUGUCUGCAUCUAGCAUCUGCCUCAUGUUCUUUUCAAUUUUCAUGUUUGUGUAAUAAGUUGAGUGGUUGACUGAUGAUGAUAUUCAAAAUCUGUGUCAUGUACAUGACCAAGAACUGAUGAUCAUGAACAUGAGCAAGAACUUUCUAACGGGUCUCUGCCUCCGUAGCUAGGUGGACUCAAGGGCCUAGCAACAACUUGCUAGAAGGAAGCCUCCUGCCGGAGCUCGCCGAGCACGAGAGACUCAUGCUGCUCGACCUCUGGAGCCUCAUCGAAGGGAUGUCGGAGUUCCUGCAGUGCAUGGCAUCGCCGAAGGACCUGCAGCCAACAACCCGCUCAGAGGUAGGUUAAUGUGCUCUGGCUCGGAUAAGAUGGCGAGCCUGGCCACGCUAGACCUGUCCAAUGCCGGGCUGGUCGGGAGCAUCCCGGAGUCCAUGGCGGCGAUGCCUAGGCUGCGGUUCAACCGCAACCGCCUCUCCGUGCCAUUCCGGCCAAGCUCCUCUUGGUGCCGAGCAUCGGGGCAUCUACAUGUCGUAGUUUCGGCAUGAUCUAUUUUUCUUCAUGAUGUUUUCGGCAUAGAUGCUAGCUGUACCUUAGUACACAAAUUCGCAUGUUGUUUCAAUUCAUGUCCGCAACUUCUAUAAGUUAUUUGCCUAGCAGCACCAUUCUUGUAUGUACAUUCUUAUGCCGACAGAAUUUACAGCACUAAUUUCUGAUCGCUCUUUCCUAA
Molecule: long non-coding RNA, 2460 nt
Organism: Lolium perenne
Lineage: Eukaryota; Viridiplantae; Streptophyta; Magnoliopsida; Poales; Poaceae
Source: RefSeq, a predicted model, not a curated record